RNAcentral lists this unclassified non-coding RNA (496 nucleotides) under Hevea brasiliensis (rubber tree). Lineage: Eukaryota; Viridiplantae; Streptophyta; Magnoliopsida; Malpighiales; Euphorbiaceae. The record is from RNAcentral.
GAAAGAGAGGAGAGAGAAAGAGAUGGAGAAGGCGAUCGAGAGGCAGAGGAUCCUGUUGCAGCACCUCCGGCCGUCGCCGGCAUCCGGUGAUUGUCCGGCAAUCUCGGCUGCGGUGUGCGCUGCCGGUGACAGCGCGGCGUAUCAGAGGAAUCCUUGCUUUGGUGAUGAUGUGGUUAUUGUCGCUGCGUAUCGAACUGCGAUUUGCAAGGCCAAACGAGGUGGUUUCAAAGAUACAUUCCCUGAGGACUUGUUGACUCCUGUUCUCAAGGCUUUAUUAGAUAAGACUAAACUGAAUCCCAGUGAAGUCGGUGAUAUAGUGGUCGGGACUGUCUUGGCACCAGGCUCUCAAAGAGCAACCGAAUGCAGGAUGGCAGCACUCUAUGCCGGUUACCCUGAGACUGUUCCUAUCCGGACUGUGAAUCGACAAUGCUCAUCGGGCCUUCAGGCAGUUGCUGAUGUUGCUGCUGCUAUCAAAGCUGGAUUUUAUGACAUUGGC